CCGAGUUUACAACUCCCAAACCCCAUGUGAACCUUACCAUUCUGUUGCUUCGGCGGGAUGCCCCGGGCGCGGCCGCGAGGCCAGCCCCGGACCCAGGCGCCCGCCGGAGGACCCAAACUCUUCUGUCUUACAGCGGUUUUCUUCUGAGUGGCUAUAAGCAAAAAAUGAAUCA
RNAcentral lists this unclassified non-coding RNA (172 nucleotides) under uncultured Sepedonium. RNAcentral describes it as "sequence contains ITS1". Lineage: Eukaryota; Fungi; Ascomycota; Sordariomycetes; Hypocreales; Hypocreaceae. The record is from RNAcentral.